This 463-nucleotide ribosomal RNA is filed under the name uncultured bacterium. RNAcentral describes it as "partial 16S ribosomal RNA". It matches the Rfam family "Bacterial small subunit ribosomal RNA", at positions 28 to 507 of the family's 1533-position model. The record is from RNAcentral.
GACGAACGCUGGCGGCGUGCUUAACACAUGCAAGUCGAACGGUGAACCUCUUCGGAGGGGAUCAGCGGCGAACGGGUGAGUAACACGUGGGCAACCUGCCCCCGGCUCUGGGAUAACUCCAAGAAAUUGGGGCUAAUACCGGAUGUUCACCGCUUCCCGCAUGGGUGGUGGUGGAAAGGGUUUCCGGCUGGGGAUGGGCCCGCGGCCUAUCAGCUUGUUGGUGGGGUAGUGGCCUACCAAGGCGACGACGGGUAGCCGGCCUGAGAGGGUGACCGGCCACACUGGGACUGAGACACGGCCCAGACUCCUACGGGAGGCAGCAGUGGGGAAUAUUGCGCAAUGGGCGGAAGCCUGACGCAGCGACGCCGCGUGGGGGAUGACGGCCUUCGGAUUGUAAACCUCUUUCAGCAGGGACGAAGCGCAAGUGACGGUACCUGCAGAAGAAGCACCGGCCAACUACGUG